UUCAGUAAGCGACACACAAGUCCAAGGUAGAUUUCAGAAAACCAGAGCUUUUACUCCCCCAACAAACACUAUGGUUGUCACCCCACAUGCCCAGAACGAGUGGAGCAGUGCUUAUAAUAGUGAUGAAUCUGCUCCGUUGGCAAAGGGGAGCUCGUGGCCUGGAGCGAGUCCUCUCUCUCCUUUGGUCUCCCCUCGUGGCGGCAAGGAUUCCUCCUUUGAGGAGCUUCAUGGGGAAAGGAGUCUUUGAGCUUAUCAGAUGAUUGCAAUGGAGUCCUUUGGGCCUGUGAGUUCUAUGCUCUCCCCACCCCCCAACCCCAAUGCACUUCCAAAGUCAUCGAUGUUAUUAUAUACAUUGGCUGGAAUGGUUUGGAGGAACAAUGAUCGAUGAUAGUUUACAGGUAGUAGCUAGUUUAGUUAAGAAAGGAAAGAAAAAUGAUAGCUUGAAGAUUCCUUCAGGAUAUCAGGUUUGAGAAGAAAAAAGGAAAAAAAAAAAAAGAACAAGGAUGAUAAUGCUGUAAUGAUUACUAAGAGUGAUGUACCUGACAUCCUUGCAUGUUAAAAUCAAGUUUGGGAAGCACAGCCCAUGUCAUCUUUCUCUUGCCCAAAGAAAAGCCACCUUGAUUUAUCCAAUUAGUUGUGUAUGGGA
Molecule: long non-coding RNA, 646 nt
Filed under: Musa acuminata (dwarf banana)
Lineage: Eukaryota; Viridiplantae; Streptophyta; Magnoliopsida; Zingiberales; Musaceae
Description: long non-coding RNA (MACU_LNC001120)
Source: RNAcentral